UUCAAUGGCGGGCGGUGCGUGGGGGUCUUCGGACCCACCGGCUUGGUUACUGUCCGGCUUUCGAACCACGCAUCGUCCGCCGCCUUU
This is a non-coding RNA of Stenotrophomonas maltophilia SKK35, 87 nucleotides long. The record is from Rfam. NCBI's taxonomy places the organism in Bacteria, Pseudomonadati, Pseudomonadota, Gammaproteobacteria, Lysobacterales, Lysobacteraceae.